UCACAGUGCUGGGACUUGAAUUUUCACCACGUUUUCAUCAUACCUGUUUUGAUGACUAGGAUGAUGUUAUCUUGUGGUGGUUGCAUUUUUCAUCUCUCUGCAAGUUUAGAGCAUCCUGAGAUCUGAUGGCAUGGGUCACAAUCAUGUCCCUAUAGCACUUUUGGCAUCCAUGAAUGCUUGGUUUACAGAGGACAGACUCCAUGUUGACUCUCAACGAUGUUACAUCUCUCUAGGUUAUUUGAUUGGAAUCUUCUCAGGAGACACAGAAAGAUGGUCCACUAGGCAAUUACUGGAGAUGAAAUCACAGCACUGCUAUCUCUUUCAAUUGGAGGAUUUCCUUGUACAUUCAAUACUACAGGAUUUUCUAACAUUUCGUCUUUGAUUUAGUCAUGUUGAGAACAGGAUUUAGUUAACGAAAUAAACAAAAAAUUAGAGCCCCACUGAACUGCUUCAGCUUGACCGAAUGCCAGAUCUUUGGAAACUCAUAGUGAUACAGUUGUCAUAAUUUAAAAUUGUCAGUCCUUUAUUGGCCUAACAUUCUCAGAACCUGUUCCCAGACAUUUUUUCCUCUGUGUAUUUUUAAAAUGUUAUGUAAGCCAAGUGUUUUGGCUUGUGCCUUUAAUUGCAGCUCUUAAACGCAGAGACAAGUGGAUGAGGGCAGCCUGCCCCAGGCAGAGACAACCAGGACUACAUGGUGAGACCCUAACUCCAAACCAAAACCGUACAGCCAAACAAUACAAAGCAUAAAACCAAAAUCGCUUAAAAUAAGCUGGGAGCUGGAGAGGUUGUUCAGUGGUUAAGAACAGUGGCUGCUCUCCAAAAAGAUCUGGGUUCAAUUCCCAGUACUCCGUGGAGCUCAAACCAUCUGUAACUCCAGUUCAAGAUUAUCUGACACCCUCUUAUGGCCUCUGAGGGCACCAGGCAGGCAACCACAUGCUCCAUAGGCAUAUACACAGGCAAAAUAUGUGUGUAUAAAUUUUAAAAAUUAAAAUAAAAAAAAGUUGAAAUAAACAACAUCAUUUUUCCCCAUGAAA
Grammomys surdaster is the source of this 1034-nucleotide long non-coding RNA. RefSeq lists it as uncharacterized. The transcript is spliced from 2 exons. The record is from RefSeq and is a predicted model, not a curated record. NCBI's taxonomy places the organism in Eukaryota, Metazoa, Chordata, Mammalia, Rodentia, Muridae.